This 329-nucleotide unclassified non-coding RNA is filed under the name soil metagenome. Its description in RNAcentral is "partial contains 5.8S ribosomal RNA, internal transcribed spacer 2, and large subunit ribosomal RNA". The stretch from base 1 to 120 matches the Rfam family "5.8S ribosomal RNA", at positions 35 to 154 of the family's 154-position model. The record is from RNAcentral.
GAUGAAGAACGCAGCGAAAUGCGAUAAGUAAUGUGAAUUGCAGAAUUCAGUGAAUCAUCGAAUCUUUGAACGCACAUUGCGCCCCUUGGUAUUCCGAGGGGCAUGCCUGUUCGAGCGUCAUUACAACCCCUCAAGCUCUGCUUGGUGUUGGGGCCUGCCGCACCGGCAGCCCUUAAAAUCAGUGGCGGCGCCAUCUGGCUCUGAGCGUAGUAAUUCUUCUCGCUAUGGAGUCCUGGUGGAUGCUUGCCAUCAACCCCCAAUUUUUCUAUGGUUGACCUCGGAUCAGGUAGGGAUACCCGCUGAACUUAAGCAUAUCAAUAAGCGGAGGA